This 427-nucleotide ribosomal RNA is filed under the name uncultured bacterium. RNAcentral's name for it is "bacterial SSU rRNA". It matches the Rfam family "Bacterial small subunit ribosomal RNA", at positions 30 to 453 of the family's 1533-position model. The record is from RNAcentral.
AUUGAACGCUGGCGGCAGGCCUAACACAUGCAAGUCGAACGGUAACAGGAAACAGCUUGCUGUUUCGCUGACGAGUGGCGGACGGGUGAGUAAUGUCUGGGAAACUGCCUGAUGGAGGGGGAUAACUACUGGAAACGGUAGCUAAUACCGCAUAACGUCGCAAGACCAAAGAGGGGGACCCUCGGGCCUCUUGCCAUCGGAUGUGCCCAGAUGGGAUUAGCUUGUUGGUGGGGUAACGGCUCACCAAGGCGACGAUCCCUAGCUGGUCUGAGAGGAUGACCAGCCACACUGGAACUGAGACACGGUCCAGACUCCUACGGGAGGCAGCAGUGGGGAAUAUUGCACAAUGGGCGCAAGCCUGAUGCAGCCAUGCCGCGUGUAUGAAGAAGGCCUCGGGUUGUAAGUACUUCUAGCGGGGAGGAAGGGA